CCACAGUCCAAAUUACAUGACCCAAAUUUAAAACCUAAACCAAAUACAAUGGCCCAUUAACCAUGACCCAAAAAUAGGCCCAAUAAGCCCAAUGUCUAAAUCGAGAAACCCUAGCAGCUUUCCACUUGUGCCAUAGCAGCCCCCGCAACCUCCAGGCACCGUACAACGCCUCCAGCAACCACGUCAAUAGCCCUCGUACGCCAGCACAGUCUCCGUACGAUGCCAACGCAUCCCGUACCUGCAAGAAGGACAAACACAGCAGCAAAUACAAACAAAAAUGGCAGAACAGCAAAUAGAAGGGAACGAAAAUUGUAUUUGGAAUUUAUUUUUCCUUUUUCUUUUUUCUCUUCGGCUAUAAAAGCGAAGCUGCGAAUCAGUUGUAAAAGAGGAGGAUACACAUAUUGAAUGCAAAGAGCAGAGGUGAUUUCAUACUUUUCUUUCCGAUUUUUUUAUUUUCUUCUUAGUUUACUCAUUGUUAAUGCAUACAACUAAAAACCGAUGAAAGCCAUAAAUAUUUCUGCUCUGCGGAUAUAAUGGCGAGAGGUCAAGUAGCAGUAUUUACUUUACAAAUCUGUUUCCAUUUUUUUUAAAAAAAAUAAUAACGUGAGAUUCGAGCAUUUCAUUCAAACAAAGAAGGAGAGGAGAAAGAUACUUACUAAACCCUUUUAAAACUUGUUCAAGUGUCUUCAACGGGGAAAACGGGUGCUUUUUGCAUGCAGGUGAUUCGGCUGCUAAAUAGAAACCCAAGAAACUUAGUUCCCAGGCUGUUUUUUUCCGUAUAUUACCAGUUUUAGUCCCUAGAUGUUUUUGCGCGUUGGAUGUUCGUCCUUUUAUCAUUACUAUUUUAGUUUUUAAUUACCCCAUGUAUUUUAGUUUAAUUUUAAUCGAGUCCUUUCAUCUUAUACCUCUUUUUAUUUUAUUUUAUUUGUGCAUUUUAAUUAAUCUUGAUAAUUGCUUCUUCAUUCUUGUAGAUUCGUUUUUGUUUUAAUAUUAUGACCGUAUUUCGCACUCUUUAAAUAUUUAUUUCUUUUAUGUUAUUAUACAUAUACAUAUUGUUAUAAAAAAGUUAAUGUAUUUGCAUGUAUAUAAUAAUUCUUGGCUCUGUUCAUGUAUUUUGGAAUAUAUAUUUUUAUUAUUCUAACACGUUUUCUACAUAUAUUUUACGUAAUGUUUAAAUUAUUUUUAUGCUUAUUUAUAUUAGUAUACAUAUUAUAUAUAUAUAUAUAUAUAUAUAUAUAUUUCUAAACCUAUACAUUUUACAUUUACAUUUUCUUUACACAAAAGCGUGUUUUUUAAUCUAUUGUUUAAUUUAUUAUAAAAUUAAUUUAGCCCUAUGAAUAUUAUCUUUUCUAUGUAAUUUUACAUGUAAUUAUUUUCAAAAGUUAUAUAUACAUAUUGAUAUUAUUACUUUAAUAGGUUUUCCUACUUACAACAUUUUUGCGAUAUGAGUUAUCAAGUAUUUUCUUUAUGUAUGUAUAUAGAAAAAUUUUAGAAACCUCAUUUUUUUUUUGCAAUCACAAAAUUAUUAUUUUUGGAUGUUCCUUUGUAUUAAAUUACUUUGUGUUUUAUAUAGUCCCUUAUUUAAACGUUUUGAUAUAAACGCAUGUAUAUACUUUUUAGACUAAGUUAAAGUUUUUUAUUAAUCUAAUAAUUAUUUUUAAAGCUAUCUAUAUGUACAUAUGUUUUAUGAACAUACUUUGUGUAUUAUAUUUUCGCCAUAUGUCUUCAUUAUUCCUUUUUAUAUUAGACAUAUUAUUUAAAAUCGUCAUGUAGUUUGUCAACUUUAAAAUAUGUUUGUGUUUAAAUUUUUUUACUUGCAACUUGAUUCAAAUUUCCAUUCUUUAAUAUCCAUUUCAAAAUAUAUACACAUAUCCCUAUUUUUUUAAGCUUGUCAACCUAUAUAUAUAUCUAGCUUAUUAAUCUUAUACCAUUUUGAUUUCUACAUUUCAUUUGCUUCACGCAUAUCUUGUUGUUUUCUUUAUAUCUUAUGGCAUGAAUAUAUAUAAUCAUUGCAUGGUAUUCGUCUUAAUAAUUUGUUAAUUGUUCUUCGUAUGCGAUUGAGAUUUGAUUAUGAUCUUUAGAUUAAUUAUAUUUAAUUGCAUAUUUUGCUAGUCGAUUAAUAUUAUUAUCCAUCAAGCAUCGUACCAUUAUACGUGCCUUUUACCCUAUAUCAUCGUUUCACUUAAUUUUUGAAAUGUGGUUCUAUAAAACCCAAAUUUUAUGAUUAAUUUCGUCUUAUUUCAAAUCGAGUUAAUACGUCUUAAGCUAGCUUUAUAAUCAUUCAAAAAUUCUUCAAAACGAAGACGAGAUUCGAUGUUUGGCAAUUCGCGGAAUCGUGCCCUAACGUGUUGGGUUGCAAUAUCGUGUUUGCUCGAAAUAAUCGAAUAUCACUUCAAAAUUUCACUCAUGUCUUUUAAAAUUCUUCAAAACGAAGACGAGAUUCGAUAUUUAGCAAUUCGCGGAAUCUUGCCCUAACGUGUUGGGUUGCAAUUUCGCAUUUGCUCAAAGUAAUCGAGUAUCCCUUCAAAAUUUCCUUUCAUAUCUUCUAAAAAUAAUUUAAAACGAAGGCAAUAUUUGGCGUUUGACAAUUCGAGAAUCAUGCCCUAUUGUGAUGGGUUGUGAUUUCUUGUUUGCUCAAAACGAUCGAACAUUCCUUUACAUUCUCACUCAUGUUUAUAAAAAAAACUUAAAAACGAAGACGAUGUUCAAUAUUUCGCAAUUUGAGAAUCGUGCCCUAGCGUGCUGGGUUACGCUUUUUCAUUGGUUCGAAACAAUUGAACAUCCCUUUGGAAUUUCACUCACAUUUCCUAAAAUCUUUCAAAAUGAAGGCGAUGUUCGAUGUUUGGCGAUUUGAGAAUCGAGCCCUAUCGUGUUGGGUUGCGCUUUCUUAUUUGUCCAAAAUAAUCGAAUAUCUCCUCGAAAUUUUACACGUAUUUUAUAAGGUAAGGCAAUGGUCAAUGUUUGGAAAUUUGAGGAAUCGUGCCCUACUGUGCUGGGUUUCGAUUUUUCGUUGGACUAAAUAGUUUAGCAUCCUUUUGUGAUUUUCGAAUCAUAAAUUUUCAGACGUCGAAAUAAGAAGAUUUUUGGUAAUCAACUCGGGUUACUAAAAAAAGAACCACAUUUCAAAAACAUAUUUAAAUUUUAGACACAAGGACAGUAUUUAAUCGAUUCGGUACCAAUUUUGGGCGUAGUGAGGGUGCUAAUCCUUCCUCAUACGUAAUCGACUCCCGAACCCAUUUUCACAAAAGUUCGUUGACCAAAAUCGUUGUUUUAGAAAACUAAAAUGUUUUAUUAAAAUAACCAAAUUCUUAGGUGAUCUGAUCGCACCAAAACAAAAGGAUCGGUGGCGACUCCAUAUUUCUAUUUUCCAAAAAGUCGAUUCCCCUUUUUUUAUUAAAUUUAAAAUUUUUAAAAUCGAAGGAUGGUUUCGACAGCUUGGUGACUCCGCUGGGGAUGAACUUGAGAGUCGAGCCAUAAGAAUCGAUUAUUUACUGUCCUUUUGUCAAAAACCGAAAAUGCCUUUUAAAAAAAAUCAUGUAUCUUUCGAUUGCAUUUGAUUGUAUGAUUGUUUUGGUGCGGGUUUUGUAGAAUAGCAUUGUAUUUCAUUGCAUGACCACUGUGGUCACACCUUCUAAAUGGGAGUAAGAAGCUACGCUUUCGUGAGGUUUUCACCUUUGCAUGGGCUAGUGGAUUGCUUCCGGGGUACAUCCGUACCUAUGAUUUCGUGAGAUUUUCAUCUCCGCAUGGUCAUAGGGAAAUGUAUCCCCCCGAACCGAACUCGAUCUAUAUGAGUCUAUAAUUGGUGAGGAUUGAGGAAUCUGCUGGUUCGGGUACCCCUCUUCCUAGAACUAAACCACAUAUAGUGAACCUUAGGAGCUAUCCUUGGGUGGAGCCUCGUUGAGCCUUAGUACUUACCCGUAUAUGCGUUAUGUGCUUGCAUUCUAUUGCUAUUAUUUGAUACUAACCGGUGGUUUGUUUUGAUUAUCUUUUUUACAUGACAUUGCAUACUAAAUGAGGCGUUAAUCCGUAUUCAAUUACUAAGUUAGAAAAUUUGACAUGGAGAAUGAAUUUUUUAGUAACGUCGAGGAUAAUACGGUCGUUCGUGCAUGGUCGGAGAGGCUACAAUCAGAGAGAGGGGAUAUCUUGGCAGAAGGGCAUGUGUCGGAGCUGCAGGAUUUCACUCGCGUCAAUGUAGUACAGAAUGAGCUGCAAGAGUUAAGAGACAUUUGGGCUAGUUGGGAUGAAGGGAUCAAGCAGUUGUUUUACUAAAACUAUGGUGACAUAUCCUACCUGCUAGACAUUAGAGUAGAUAAGCAUUUGUUCCGAGCCUUGGUGCAGUUUUGGAAUUCUGCGUACAAGUGUUUCACUUUUCGAGAAGUGGAUUUGGUACCUACCAUGGAGUAAUACACUACGCUGCUUAGGUGUCCAAAGAUUCAGGUCUGGAAGACUUAUACCCGGGUUUUUAGUAAUCAGGUUUUCGUGAAGAAACUGAUGGGCAUUUCUGGGAUGAGCGAGCCUUGGGUCACUACUCGGAUUCAGCAAAAAGGAGAUAACAAAUGUAUCCCUUGAAAGAAUUUGCGAGAUUUGAUCUUGACUCAUCCAGACGAAAGAAAGAGGGUCGAUAUAUUUGCCUUAAGCAUCUACAGAUUAGUGAUCUUUCCUAAGGCUUUGAGGCACGUGGACGAGGUGGUCAUCGACUUGUUCGAUCGUCUUGAAAAGGGAAUCACACCGGUACCGGUAAUAUUGGCAGAAACGUUUAGAUCUUUGAGCUCAUGUCAGAAGACAGGCUAGGGGCGAUUUAUUAGAUGUGCUCAACUAUUGAUGGUAUGAUUUCAUGGGCACUUUUGGAAGGUAGACAAGGUUUCCUAUCGAGUCUUUUCCGAAGGUUAUUCCCCUUUGAAAGAAGCGGCAGCUAUACAGAGGAGAGAGGAUAUCUCGGAGGAGAAGUGGAUGGAUAUCAUUCAAAACCUCAAGGAUAGGGAUAUCGAGUGGAGAGCUUAUUGGAUGGUUCUGACGAGAUCAUGUACCGAUGUGGUAACUUUGAUUGGGUACCGUUGUUAGGAAUUUAGGGAGCUACCGGGUAUACUCCAUUGAUAGCCUUGAGGCAAUAUAAGUCGAGGCAGUUUGUACCCACGACCUAUGGGCUUGCUUAGAGUGAAUUCUCGUUUAAAGGUGCUCAUUAUAAGAAGAGAGUUCGAGAAUUAUUAGAUGCUUGGAAGCAGACUUGUUGGAUGAAGAGGUUAGCCGUCGGUUCCAUGGUAACACCCAAGUACAGCGAGUGGUUUAAGAAAAAGAUUAAUGAUAAUAUUCCUAGGCCAAGCUUGGAGAAUGCUCGACCUAUCGGGGAACAAUUACAAGUCACCCCAUCAGGAUUGGAGAUUAUAAGGCAAGAUUUUGAGAAGAAGAGUUUGGAGCUUGGGAAGAAGAUCGAACAAUUGGAGGAAGAGAAGAUGCACCUAAGGUUAGAGGCUGAUGUCCAGAGGUCAAAGGCUGAGAAGUGGAGAAAAGGAAAAACUAAGGCCGAAGAGGAUCUAGACAGCUUGAAGACUGACUAUAAGAAGCUGCGCUUAUCUAUGAGGACUGCGGGUUCAAGUAAGACUUCCGAACAAUGGUACCAUAAAAUUCGAGAAUAAAAGGCUAAUACAUACCGGUGGGAAAAGAAAUUUUGAGAAACUCAGGCACGAAACAAAGAUUUGGAGAAAAGUCUGUCGGAAAGCAGAAAUGAGCGAGGGGAAUUAAGGCUAGAGUGGCAGAACUCGAGAAGUCUCUACAUCAGUACCGAAAUCGCAACACUGCAUUAGAAUUGAGGGCGAGCUUGAGCAAGAUAGAAGAAAUGAAAGGAAGAAUAGAAGAGUUAGAGGCGUCACUGCAAAACUGUGAGAUGCAGAUCCAAUUUUUCGAGGCAAAUGAGGAUCGUUGGAAAGGGCAGCUUCACCAUGCGCAAGACCAAGUCAGAAACAGAGAUUACCUUAUGGGGGAAGCCAUAACCCAGAUUCGAGAGGUAGCGGACUACUUGCAAACUUUAGCGGUUCAGGCGGACACACUGAGCGUGAAGUAUGAGUUAGAGUCAGAGCACAGACAAGAGUUGGCCUCGUUGCUUAGAAAAAUUAGGACUUUAAGUGUUAGAGCGAAAUUUUAUUUGUAACUUGACUUUUUGUAAAAGAUUUUAUUUUCAAGUGAAAUUUUCUAAGGGCAGUUGAAUCAAAAUUGAUGCCUCCUUUGCAUUCAUGCAUUUGCAUUACAUCAUAUCAUUAUGCAUUAAAGGCCAUAAGGGUUUUCUAAUUAAUUAAUUAAAAAUUAUUUUAGUAACCUGGAAACCAACAAAAACCAACCAACCACGCACCCCUACGAUACAAGGAAAAAAUCAAUGGAUAAGAGACUCGAGAAAUUGGAGCAGAUGCAAAAAGACAUGCAAGAACAAAUGCAGUCCCAGAUGCAAGAGCAGCUGGCCAGGAUUCAGCGAGAGAUGAAAGAGCAAAUGAUGGAGUUCCAGAGGGAAAUGAUGAGUCAGUUAUCCCAAUUGCUGUUGGGAGGAACGGAUAAGGGAAAGGGCUCCAUGGACAAAAUUGAAUAAACUAACGAAGAUCCUCAAUACCCCAUGGCUUCACUCCGACACAUGUAUCAAUGAAGCCCGAGAUUAACCUACGGAAACCAUCUGUCACGAUCAUGCCCCAGCAAGUUCAGGCCGGAGCUUCAAUACCGAUGAAUUUCCAAAUCGACUCAGGCUCUAACUUUGUCAACAACUCGAACUAUCCGCCUGUUCCCAAUUUGGACGAAAUUGCUGAAGAAGAAAAAGCGAGGAUAGAUUCGCAAAAACAAUUGGAAGAACGAUGUAGAUGGCUUGAGGAGAAAUUCAAAUCCAUGGAGAGCGCGGAUCAUCAUCAAGGGAUUGAUGCCAAGAACCUAAGUUUGGUCCCAAAUUGAGUUCUUCCCCCUAAAUUCAAAAUGCCCGAAUUCGAGAAAUACAAUGGAACAAGUUGCCCCGAGGCUCAUAUCACUAUGCUUUACAGGCGAAUGACAGGAUAUGUUAACAAUGACCAGCUAUUAAUCCACUGCUUUCAAGAUAGUCUGGUCGAGGCAGCGUCUAAGUGGUACAACCAAUUAAGCCGCUCUAAGAUUAACUCGUGGAAGCACCUGGCCCAGGCUUUUAUGAAGCAAUACAAUCAUGUGACAGACAUGACCCCUAAUAGAAUCACUCUCCAAAACAUAGAGAAGAAAUUGAAUGAAAGCUUCAGACAGUACGCGCAAAGGUGGAGAGAAGUGGCCAUACAAGUUCAGCCACCGCUUCUAGAAAAAGAGACGACAAUGCUCUUUAUCAACACCUUGAAAGCCCCUUUUAUCACUCAUAUGUUAGGAAGCGCCACAAAAAGCUUCUCUGACAUAGUGAUGACGGGGGAAAUGAUCGAAAAUACUGUGAGGAGUGGCAAGAUAGAAUCGGGAGAGAGUGCCAAUAAGUCGGCCUCGAGGAAAAGAGACAAUGAAGUGAACAAUACGAGCACAUCCAACAAAGGUCAGUCCAAGUCAUUCACCGUAAAUCAACCCAAGACGGUGACCACCAAUCAGCAAAGCUCUAUAAGACAAGAACCAACGUGAGGGAGAACACAGAAAGGCCACAAUUUACCCUUAUACCCAUGACGUAUAGGAAAUUGUAUCAGAACCUGUUCAACGCUCAUGUGGUGUCCCCUUUAUACCUGAAGCCACUGCAGCCCCCAUAUCCCAAAUGGUAUGACACAAACGCCCAAUGUGAAUACCACACGGGAAUCACCGAGCACUCUAUCAAAAACUGCGUUGCGUUGAAAAAAUUAGUCGAAAGACUCAUUAAGAUGGGGAUCGUGAGAUUUGACGACCCAGCCACACCCAAUGUAGCAGGAAACCCACUCCCCAAUCAUACCGACCAAGGAGUGAAUGGGAUAAGUGAAGGAAAGAACAAGAAAAUCAAGAAUGAGGUGGCAGAAGUCAGGACCCCAUUGAGGCAGGUAUGGAAGGAGAUGGCCAAGAGAGGAUUGAUUGCGUUGGAUUCGAGGGACGAAUCUGAAGAAGAGAGGAACUGCUGCGAGUUCCACGAUGAGGAGGGGCAUGAAAUCCAAGAGUGUGUGGAAUUCAGAGCUCUAGUGCAGAACAUGAUAGAUAAUAAGGAAAUGGAGUUUUAUGAAGAGAUAGAAGACCCCGUAGAGGGAGAUAUAUGUGCAUCAGAAGGAGAACCGACGGCACAGAAUGAAACAGCUAACUAUCCUGUAUUUAUCAUAUCGAGACCCAAAAAUAAUGAAGCAAGAGUACAAAUGCCACCGAGAGUCAUAAUCCAAAGACCUGCAGUCUUCCCCUACAAAGACAGCAAAAAGGUCCCAUGGAAUUAUGAUUGUAAUGUAAUGAUUCCAGGGAAGGAAAGCCUCGUGGAUGCUUCAAAAGAGGGUCAAGACAAGGGCUCUUAUACACGUAGCGGGAGACGUUACAAUGUAGCAAAUGAGGAGGUACAACCCGUAAAAGGAAAAACCCCAAUAGCCGAGGAAAUAAAAGAAAAAGCAACCAAGCCUGUUAACGAGCCAGUUAACAAAGAGGAGGCCAAUGAGUUUUUAAAAUUCCUAAAACAUAGCAAAUACAGCGUGGUGGAACAACUACGUAAACAACCAGCCCGUAUCUCGGUGCUAGCCUUACUUCUAAGCUCAGAAGUUCAUCGCAGCACGCUAAUGAAGGUCUUGAAUGAAACAUACGUUGCCAAUGAUAUCUCUGUUAACAAGCUAAACCGUUAGGUUAGCAACAUAAGUGCCGACAAUUAUAUUUUCUUUAAUGACGAUGAGAUACCACCCGGUGGCAUGAGGUCGACUAAACCUCUGCAUAUCACCACACGCUAUAAAGGAUAUACGCUGCCGGGCGUACUGAUUGACAAUGGUUCAGCCUUGAGCGUCUUGCCCUUGACUACACUUAACAGACUACCUAUAGGCAGCUCUCACAUGAAGGAGUGCCAGAACAUCGUGAAGGCAUUCGAUGGCACGGAGAGAAAGGUGAUGGGCAGAAUCGAGGUACCUCUUCAGAUCGGGCCAAACACAUAUGAGGUGGAUUUCCUCGUAAUGGAUAUCAAGCCCUCAUACAAUUACUUGUUGAGGAGGCCCUGGAUACAUUCAGCUGAGGCAGUGUCUUCCUCGUUGCAUCAAAAAUUGAAGCUGGUAUCGGAGGGGACGUUGAUAACGAUUAAGGCUGAAGAGGAUAUUAUUGCAACUGUGAGCAAUAAUGCACUCUAUUUGGAGACAGAUGACGAAGCAAUCGAAUGCUCAUUUCAAUAUUUGGAAUUUGUUAAUGCGACGUUCAUCGCUAAGGGAAGCAAAAUUCUGGUGUCGAAAUUGUCCAAAAUCACGAGGAUGAGCCUCUAGUUGACGAUUGGAAAAGGGGCCUUACCCGGAAGGGGACUUGGGAGACAUCUGCAAGGAAGGGUUGAAACGCCAAUGCUGAAGGACAAGAGAGACCGCUUCGGCUUAGGAUUUAAGCCGGAUGCGAAACAAAGGAGAAGGGAACUGGAAAAGAAGCAAGAAAGAAUGAAAGCUCGGUUAACGGGGGAGGAGAUCAAGUGGGAAUCAAUGAUAUUCCCUCAUAUAUUGGAAACAUUUGUGUCCGGGGGAAUCAUUCAUCCCAAGAGAGAUACGCCAAUAACGGGAACUAUAGAAGAAAGGCUGGAUAGCUUGGACAUCAACGUCAUGUACGAAGAGGAGACUGAAAGAGAAAAUUUGUCGGGCAUUUGCCCCUACACACUUGGGAGCGUUCUGGACAACUGGACUGCGGAAGAGAUUCCUGUAGUUUUUAGAACGAAUUCAGAGUAAUAUCCAAAACACACUUAUUGCUCUAGGCCUAGGAGUAAUAAGAAUCUUUUGUGAAAUAGGCCGAUGUUUAAAAAACGUUAUUUCAAUAAAAUGCACAGUUAUUAUCAUUUUUGAACAAAUGUUCUCUCGUCCUUUCAAUUUCAUUCAUAACCAUACAAAUGAUUACUUUCGGAUUCUUUUAUUCUUGAAACAUUCUUCUAAAUAUUCUUUCUGUCGAAACCCUUUUUAUUUUGAAAGCAAUGGGGAUCGAAUUUUGAAAACUCAAAAAUGUGGAGUCGCCACCAACCUUUUGUUUAGGUGUGAUUGGAUCACCUAAUAAAACAUUUUAAAACAAUUCUGGUUCACAAAAAUUUAAAAAUGGGUUCGGGAGUCGGUUACGCAUGAGGAAGGGUUAGCACCCUCAUUACACCCAAAAAUUGGUACCAAAUUGAUUUGAUGCUGUCCUUGUAAAAAAUUUAAAGGAAAAGAUUUUCCGAAGUAUGAUUUUUCUUAAAAAUGUUUGAAUAGCUCAAAUUAGCGGUCAAAAAUCUCUCAUUCCAAGGACAUGCGGUUUCAUACCCAGUACGAUUGGAUAUGAUCCCUUAUACCUUUAAGGUACGAUCGAUUUUCGACUUUUGAAAAAUUCGUGCAUUAAAAUCAUAAAAGGUUAUCUAAAUAUUUGGUUCACCGGAAAAGUCAUACCCAGUACGAUUGAGCACGAUUUUCCGAAUUCUCCAAAUAUUAGAUAUUACCUUAUUUCAGAAUUUUUGAAUAACAGAAAAUUGAAAAUUUGCUCAAAAAAACACGUUUAUUUGCAUAAAAACUUGGGAUACAUGUUCAUUAAAUUGUUAUUACAAAAUACAAAGUUCAAAUCAAAUUAUAUAUGAAAUAUUUAAUACACAAAUCCAUUCAAAAAUUGAUAAUUCUCAUGAUAAAAUUAUGUACAGAAGAAAUUUAUGAAACAUGUAUAUACAAGUAAAAAUUGGAUAUAAUUAUUUGUAAAAAAAUGAAAUUAAUAAUGUAUGAAAGAAACAAAGUAAAUAUAUAAGUAUAUAGGUAACAAAAUAUAUAUAUAAUAAUGCAUAAGGAUAAUAUGGGAGUGUGUACAAUAAAUAAGUGGUAUGAUUAAAAACAUGGUUCCCAAAAGAAAUAUAUUGUACAUAUAAAUAUCUUUAAAAUAGGUUCUACACAUAAAAAAAUAUUUAUAUGAAGAUAUAUGAGAAUAAUAAUAUGUAUCAUAGUAAAAAUAAUUUAAUAUGUGUUAUACAUGUGAAGACACUUUAGAAAUAAUUGUAUAUUUAAGUAACAUGGAAUUAAAAUUUGAAUUAUAAAAUUAACUUAAUUUUACUGUGAGAUAUACAUACAAAGAAAUUUUAGAAAUAGUUGAAUGUUGAAGUAAAAAAAAAUUGAAUUUUAAAAUCAACUUAAUUUUAUUAUAUAUUAUAAGUUUACUAAAACUAAAAAACAGUUAAAUACAAAUUUAUUAGAAGGCUAUAUAUAUAUAAUAAGAACAACAAGGCUUUAAUAUAUGUAGAUUAAACAUAAAUACCAAAUAUACUUAAUAAACAUGUAAAUAUAUGGAUGAAUCUAAGAGAAAUUACAAAAUAUCAUGAAACUAAUAGUAUACACAAACUAAAAUGAAUUAUAUUACAAAUAGUACACCAAUUAUUAAAAUAAUAGAAUAAAAACAGAAAAGAUUACAAAAUUCGGCUAUCAAAAUAAUACAAAAUAUCACAAUCAAUGAUAAAGCAUGUAAAAAAAUGUAUGUGCAGUAAAAUAAAGAAAUAAGACUUAAUUGAAGCAAAAUUGAAACAGGAGAAACAAUUUACAAACAAAAUAAAAUAAAAAUUGGAUCAAUGUGCCAUGCGCACAAACAUGUGGGGGCUGGUAUUGAAAAUAUCCCGUGCUCAAAAUGCAGUAAUGAACCGCGGAUCCAAUUGAAAAACGCACAAACUAGCAGGCCAAUUUUAAAACAUAAAGAAGGCGAAUCGGGCGCAAAUUGAGGGCUCGCGAAAAGAGAAGGAUAUGUUGCACAAAUAGACCAUUUUAGGCACAAAAGGCUCCCCUCACCCUUCUUACACGGUACCGUUUUGUUUAAUAGGCUAUUUAAGCCUUCCUUUUCCCAUUCUCUUCUCCAAAGGCAGCCACUCAUCCCACUCAAAUGUACAGCCCCCAAAAUCAAAAUAUUAGGGUUCAUAUUCACAGCCAUGGAACCACCAUUUUAUUUGGUGGCUAUUGACGCAUGAACCACAACUAGACCUCACCAUCGAAGGCUCCACUCGAGGGAAUCUGGUAAGCCAAUUUAUUUUUCCUUUUUUUUUAAAAAAAUUUCCUAGAUCUGAUAUUGUUUGCUCAAGAAAAAUCAAACCGAAGUUGAGAACCUACAUAUUUAACAACAUCUGACCCUCACCCUUAUUUCAAUAUUUCAGAAAUAUUAGGGAUUUCAUUGGCGUCAUUUUGAGGCAUGAGGUCUAAUACUUUUAGAUUUCCCUUCCAACUUCGAUCUCAACGAAGUGAAAUAGAGGUCUAAAGCCGAUUCACAAGGUAAAACUCGACUUCUUUUUAUUCUAAAAUGCAGAAUGAUGAAGGUAAUUGCAAGGAAAAAAAGAAAUAAAAAAAAUAAGGGAACAAAUUGAAAAAAAACCCGAAAAAUCACCCUUCAAGAAAUUCUUUUCGAAAAUUUUUGUACUCUUCUCUGCGUAUAGUGUGCUUGCGUAAGUAUCUGUUUUGUGUGCGUAAAAAAUUAUGGAUUACAUCACUGGCUUUUAUAUCCAUAUUUCCAAAAUAAAUAAAAUCUAAAAAAUCCUAUUUUCCUAUUGUCAUUUGCUGUGAAAUCUGUUAUUGACUCCUUCUAAUGUCUUCUUUUGCAGUCUCAGUUGUACGGAGAAGAUGAUCCGGGGAUCUCGCGUGGAAAACCAUCCCUUUGGUAUUCUUCCAGUAUAUUCUAGGAGCUACUGCUGAAAUUCUCCUUCUUUUGGGUUCUUUUGGGUUUAGGCUAGGAUAUGGAUUUAUUAGAGUUGGGUUUUAGGACAUGGGUUAUUUUUGUAUUUUGAAAAUUGUAAAUGGACCUUUUUUAGUCUUGGACCUUAUUCAUUUAUUUGGGUUUAUUUAUUUGCAAAUAAAUUAAAUGGGCCCGGGCAAAAUUGGUUGACUACAGCUGCCCCUCUUUGCUCAUUGACGUGUAACGGGAAUAGAGCAAAGACUUCAAAAGAACCGAUUUUGCUUGGUCUUGUUAAUUUUUGGCUUUUUGGCGCUUCUAUUUUCCAAACACCUUUAGGAAGAUGAGGUUGAUAGGUUAAAUCUACUCCAUUAUCGAUACAUGGAAGAUAAGAUUCACCAUUUUCAAUCUACAGUCUGCUUUUUUGCUACCUCAAGAAAAUAAGACUCCCUUUUUAACCUGCUCUCUUGCCACCUCAGAGAAAUAAGGCUAGUGGUAAAAUCUACUCCAUUGCCGAUACAUGAAGAUAGGAUUCACCAUUCUCGAUCUGUUCCGCUGCAACUUCAGUGAGAUAAAAUCUUCAAUUCUCAUUCUGCUUCCUUGCUACCUCAGGAAAAUAAAACUCGUUCUUCAACCUGCUCUCUUACUACGUCAGAGAAAUAAGGCUUGGUGGUAAAAUCUGCUCCAUUGUCGAUACAUGGAAAUAAGAUUCACCAUCUGUAAAGAUCUACUCCGCUGCAAUCUCAGGGAGAUAAAAUCUUCAAUUCUCAGUCUGCUUCUUUGCUACCUCAGGAAGAUAAGACUCAUCUUUCAACUUGCUCUCUUGCUACCUCAGAGAGAUAAGGCUAAUAGCUAAAAUCUGCUCCAUUGCCGAUACAUGGAGAUAAGAUUCGCCAUCCUCAAUCUGUUCCGCAACUACCUAGGGAAAUAAGAUCUGUAAUCUUCGGUCUGCUUCCUUGCUACCUCAGGAAGAUAAUACUACAAUUUUCAACCUGCUCUCUUGCUACCUCAGAGAGAUAAGGUCAAUAGUUAAAAUCUGCUCCAUUGCCGAUACAUGGAGAUAAGAUCUGUAAAUUCCAGUCUGCUUCCUUGCUACCUCAGGGAGAUAAGACUACUAUCGUCAAUCUGCUCCAUUGUCGAUACAUGGAGAUAAGAUUUGUCUUUUCCAAUCUUUAAUCUUCAGUCCGCUUUCUUACUGCCUCAGAAAGAUAAGACUCAUUCUUCAACCUGCCCUCUUGCUACCUCAGAGAGAUAAGGUUGGUGGUAAAAUCUGCUCUAUUGCCGAUACAUGGAGAUAAGAUUCACCAUCUUUGAUCUGCUCCGCUACUGCUUAGGGUGAUAAGAUCUUCAAUCUUUAGUCUGCUCCACUGCAACUUUAGGGAGAUAAGACUUGUAUAUUGAGACUGUUUUACUGCAACUGACAUUUCAACCUGCUCCACUGCAACUUCAGGGAGGUAAGGUUUGCAAUCUUCGAUCUAUUCCUCCGCAACUUCAGGGAUAUAAGAUCUGACUUCACCGAUGUUACUACACCGUUUUCUCGAACCUGUCCUGUAGACUCGAUUUCAUGUAUCAUGUUUAUGCCAAAUAAUUAGGAUGUUAUGAUCAAAAUAAAUCAAAUGCUCCUAACUAGAUGUGAUGCUUAUGUCAACUAAUUAGAAUGCUAUGAUCAAAAUGAAUCAAAUGCACCUAACUAGAUGUGAUGCUUAUGUCAAAUAAUUAGGAUGUUAUGAUCAAAAUGAAUCAAAUGCACCUAACUAGAUGUGAUGCUUAUGUCAAAUAAUUAGGAUGCUAUGAUCAAAAUGAAUCAAAUGCACCUAACUAGAUGUGAUGCUUAUGUCAAAUAAUUAGGAUGUUGUGAUUAAAAUGAAUCAAAUGCACCUAAUUAGAUGUGAUGAAUGAUAUAUGAUUGCAAAAAAUGAAAAUGAUCUUUUUUUUAAUGAUCUUUUCUUUUUUCUUUUUCUUGGAAAAAAAUGCUUAAGGCAUCCUUGCUUGUUAUUCACCAGAGCCUUAUCACUGACUUAUUAUGCUGCUAUCUUGUUCGGCGGGUAUUCUUGACAGAAAACGCAAAGAAACAAUCACAUUCUGCUCAGCAAGCUUGCCCCGCUGUUAUUUCAGAGUCCCUUACACUUUAGUCUUCUGGGACAUAAAAUUUGAACUUCCCACUGUAACCUCAGGGGAAUAAUCAUUUGAUUUCUUCUAUCCAUCCUGCUAUAACUCAGAGGUAUAGGAUCUUCAAUUAAUUUGAUCUGUUACACCAUUCCCUGGGUAUAAUGAACAGAUGUAUAUGCCUGAUAUCUGUAUAAAUACAGAAUACCAUUUUCUUUCAAGAAUAACCCCAUUGCUCAUUCUUUGCCGGGAUUAUAACACCAAUUAAUAUCAUUGACAGAAAAUCCAAGGAGAUAAUCUCAUUUUAGGCUUUAAAUAUUUUCAACCCUUAAGCUUGGUGAGUUUUAAACAAUGGUCCUAUUUCAGGCUCCUGUAUUAUUUAAAAACUCCCUAAAGUAAUAUGCGAAACUUCCUUUAUGAAAGUAUUAUUAGUCCAAAAAUCGUUAUUUCAAUGCAAAAUGCUUGAAAAAGAUCAUAACCAUGGACAAGAAAGGAAUUAAUUGAAAACAUAGCUUGAAACAAACAAGCAAAUGCAACCAAGAAAGAAAUCUUUUAGGACGUGACCUGAAAAGAACAAGGUAAUCAAAGAUAACAAAAAAUGGGUAAAAAUGGAAAGCUAGGUGCCCCAGAUAUCGCAGCUUGAUCUUCUCUGUACCAACUUCUUGAGGACCAUUCUGAGCUCAAUCUGUGUUUAUGGGAUCUGGAGUAUUUGUCAAUGCCCCAAGACGUAACAUUCUUCUUUUAUUGUUAAUUCAGACCUAGCAAGACUAUUGUAUGCCCCAUUUUAAUCCAAAUCUGAGUCACCCUUUUCGGGUUUUCAACUCAAACCCCCUUUGGUCUCAAAGUGCCCUUUGCGGGUUUUCACUUUGGCCUCUCCUUUUUCUUUCUUUUUCAAUUUCUUUGAUUGAUUCUUUCUUUCUUUUUUUGAUUUUUUCUUUUUAUUUAUCUUUUUUAUUCUGAUUUUUUUUAAGGUCUCAAGGCGCCCUUUGCGGGUUUUCACCUUGGCCUCUCCUAUAGAACACUCUUUGACUGCAUUUUGAAUUCCCCGAACUGGGCAAAUCCUUUCGAUCAAAAACAGGCCUUCUUUACAUAAGGUCCCUUUUAGUUUGGCAUAUUUCUUCCUUUAAAGUCCUUUUGUAUAGGAAGGAUCUUCUUCAAUAAUAAACUCCCCUUAUGGAAUUCUCGAGGAUAAACCUGCAUCAUCCGAUUGCGAUGGCUAUCCUUUAAAUUUGACUGACCAUAUCAGGAUUGAACCCAUUCUAAUUCAUCUAACUUUAGUUGUGCCAAGACUCGAAGAAAAAGAACCUCGUCUUCAAAAACUGUUUCAGUCCUAUAAAUCAAUGUGUUGCCCCGGUAAAGGUUUCGGCCUACGUUCAAUAAACAUAGAGGGUAAAUGAUAACUUCUUUAUGCCAAUCCUUACAAGACUCAGUCAUUUUUCAUUAUGACUUUUGUUCUAUUAUUUGCUUUUCCUUUUUUCUAUUUUUGAACUUUUGUUUUUCUUUUUGGAUGCCUUUGCUGCACUGUGAUAUAUUGUUUGAUCUUUGAACAGAUUGCAUACUUUUGACAUUGGGCAGUUGUAUUUGAAAGUAAUCCUUUCUGACAUUACUUAUUAGCAACCUUUUUGUUUUUUUUGUUUUUUUUUGUUUUUUUUGUUUUUGGAAUUUGAGGACUAUUAGUCUUGUAAUAUUGACAUAUGAAGCGACCUUCACCCUCUUCAUGAAGUAAUCAAUGAUUGCUAAGAUAAAUCGAUGUAUAUUAGACGAGAAUGGCCUGAUAACAUCCUUGCCCCACAUAGAGAAAGUCUGUGAAGAAAUGAAUAAGACACAUGAAUCUUGUCUCACUAAAUACAACCCAACUAAUGCGAUCCCCUUCCAUGGUGAAUCAACAGUACCCAAACCUCAUGAUUAACGUGGCUACCAUAAAACCAUCUACAUGUGUCCUUCUGACGCCAUUUAGACAUUUUGUAUUAUCCACAGAUCUUAGUAUCCCAGGUAUAUCUUGACAUGAUCAUGCGAAAACAUCUUUGAAUUCUUAAAGUAACUCAAAGAUAAUUCAUUUUGUCCCUGUGGUGACUCAGGUUUCAAUCUUUGUCCCUUGUUCACAAUGUCCAUUGACCCUUCGUAAAGUAGGAUCUUUUUUCAUCUUGUUCUACCGUCCUUAAAAAAUCAGGAAAUAAGUCACAAUCUCUGUCAUCUUCAAAGUCCUGAAAUCCGAUUAAACACCUAUCUCACCCCAAAAGGGAGUCAGUUACAGCGUUGCUCAUGUCAUUGAUAUCUGGGGACCUAUAGUAGGUACAAAGGCAAAUUCUAAGGAUAUUUAUUUGUAUGGUAUGAUCGUGAAUGAAGAAUGAAAGCAUAUUUAAAAAGUAAAUAGUCCAAAGAACAAAAGAAUAUGUAAAGAAUGAGAGAAUAUUUAAAAAAGUAUGCAUUUUAUUGAACUAAAAAUUUUGGACACAAGCCUAUUUCACAAAAGGAUUCUUAUUGCCCCUAGGCUUAAGGAAACAAGAGUGUUUUGAAUAUUACUCUGGACUAGCUUUUAAAAAUACAGGGAUCUCUACCACAGUCCCUUUGCUCAAAACACCCCCAAGUACAUAAGGGCUUGGAAACCUUUAUUCCUUGGACCUCUCUUUGGAUAUGUCAUUCAAAUUCUCUUUGAUAAUUGGUGGUUAUAACCUUUGGCUGGCCUAUGUUGACCAAUUUGGAAGGCAUGCUCAUGAUGUUCACUUCAUUUUCCUUGUUUCCCGGAGUUGACCCUUUGGCGCUUUCUCCCAUAUCUAUUUUCCCAUUUCUUAUCGCACCUUCAAUCAUCUCACCGGACAUUACUAUAUCUAAAAAGCUCAGAGUAGCACUUCCCAACAUAUGAUUAAUGAAUGGGGCUUCCAGAGUAUUGAUGAAAAGUAUCGCAGUCUCCUUCUCUAAAAGAGGCGGUUGGACUUGUGUUGCUACCUCUCUCCAUCUUUGGGCAUAUUGCCUAAAGCUCUCAUUUUGCUUCUUUUCCAUGCUUUGCAAGGUAAUUCUGUCAGGUGCCAUGUCUGUUAUGUGACUAUACUGCUUCAUGAAGGCUUGUGCUAAGUCUUUCCAUGGUUUGAUUUUAGCACGACUCAAUUGAUUGUACCAUUUAGCUGCUGACCCGAUCAGACUGUCCUGGAAGCAAUGAAUUAAUAAUUGGUCGUUAUUAAUAUAUCCUGUCAUCCUUCGACAGAACAUUGUGAUGUGAACUUCAGGAAAACUAGUCCCAUUGUACUUUUCAAACUCUGGAGUUUUAAAUUUUAGCGGAAGUACCAGAUCGGGAACCAAACUUAGAUCUUUAGCGUCAAUCCCACAAUAGAAGUCAACAUUCUCCAUUGCUUUUAAUUUUUCCUCCAACCACCUAUACCGAUCCUCAAGUUGUCUUGGCAAUUCCCUCUCUGUUUUUUUCUAUUUUAUCUAGAUCAGGAACUUCAAGAUUAGUGGGGUUGCCCCCCGGAUUGGAACCUGAACCUAUCGGGUAAUCUACCAGUGCCGAGUUACCAGCCUGAUAUUGCUGAGUUCUGAUAAUAGGUACACCUUGCGGACCUGUCUGAACAUUUGUCGGGGUGAAACUUGGAGGGUAGAGAGGCUUUUUAUUGUCCCUCCCAGUAUUGAUCAUGGAACUUUUCUUUUCUUCAAGCCCCUUUUUCAGCAAUUGAGACAAUUGGUUCAACAUAUUCCUUUGAGACUCCAGGAUCAGAUCUCUCAUAUCUUGCCUAAUCUUCGCCAGUUGCUAUUGCAUCUGUAUUUGUAAUUGGUCUUGCAUCUCUCUUUGAAGUUGUUCAAGUCUUUGCAAUCUUUUGUCCAUAUCUUUUGUCUUAGCACGGGUACCGUAAUGACGCUUGGUUGGUAAGUUUUUAUUGGUUCCCAGAUUAACUGAAAUGAUUUCAACCAAUUAGGGACCCCUUUUAUGAAAAUUUAAUGCAAAUGAUAAAAUGAUGCAAUGUAAUGCAAAUGCAUGGGAUGGGUGCAAAAGAAAGGGAAGUGUUGAUUUUCAAUUUAAUUCCAUUAGAACAACUUUUCUAGAAAACAAAUCCCUUUACAUAAAACGGAUUACACAUACGACCUUGCUUUCAUAUUCCAAGCGAAGACACCGAUCCCUUUUCUUCGUGAAAUCCAAAUCUCGCAAACCUCUAAUAAAUGCCGCAUCUAGGUCUUCUUUGCUUGAUCCAGGCUAUGACUCAUUAUCCUCACUAUGUUGAUUAGCUCCAUUAAGAAAAUCAAGAUACGAUGGCUCUUGAACAAUCUUUAUUAGCUUGAAUCUUCAGGUAAAAACUUGUUUUUCUCCAUGAACUGGCAGCAUUCUUCCGUCAAUUCAGACAACUGUAUUAUAAUCCGCUUUAUCAGGAAAUUCAUUUUCUUAUGACAAACUGUUCUAUUUAGUAAUCAAAUAUGAAUCAACACCUCCUUUCUAUGAUGAUGUAAUGCAAUGCAGUUAUAAACAAAACAAAAACAAAACUCGUUAGUACAGGAGAAAUAAAUAACAAAUAAAAGACCUAUUCGGGUGACCACUAAAUUUGGGCAAGGUUCUACCUAAGGUGAACUCUCAAGGUUCGCUAUAUGUAGCUCGAUUCUAGAGAAAGGGUACCUGAACCAGCAGAUUCCUCAAUUCUCACCCAUUAUAGGCUCAUAUGAAUCGAGUUUGAUUCAGGGGAAUACAUUUCCCUAUGACCAUGCGGAGAUGAAAAUCUCACGAAAUCAUAGGUACGGAUAUAUCCCGGAAGCAAUCCACUAGCCCGUACGGAGGUGAAAACCUCACGAAAGCAUAGUUUAUUACUCCCACUUAACAGGUAUAAUCACAGCGGUCAUGCAAUACAAUGCCAUAUUAUUCUACAAGACUCAAACCAAAACAAUUAUGCAAACAGAUGCAAUUUAAAGGAAUCGUGAUCUUCAAAACAAAUUUUCAAUUCUUUGACAAAAGGACAGCAAAUAAUCAAUUUUAUGGCCUGACUCUCUUUGUUCAGUCCCCAGCGGAGUCGCCAAGCUGUCGAAACCCUUUUAUUUUGAAAGCAAUGGGGAUCGAAUUUUGAAAACUCAAAAAUGUGGAGUCGCCACCAACCUUUUGUUUAGGUGUGAUUGGAUCACCUAAUAAAACAUUUUAAAACAAUUCUGGUUCACAAAAAUUUAAAAAUGGGUUCGGGAGUCGGUUACGCAUGAGAAAGGGUUAGCACCCUCAUUACGCCCAAAAAUUGGUACCAAAUUGAUUUGAUGCUGUCCUUGUAAAAAAUUUAAAGGAAAAGAUUUUCCGAAGUAUGAUUUUUCUUAAAAAUGUUUGAAGAACUCAAAUUAGCGGUCAAAAAUCUCUCGUUCCAAGGACAUGCGGUUUCAUACCCAGUACGAUUGGAUAUGAUCCCUUAUACCUUUAAGGUACGAUCGAUUUUCGACUUUUGAAAAAUUCGUGCAUUAAAAUCAUAAAAGGUUAUCUAAAUAUUUGGUUCACCGGAAAAGUCAUACCCAGUACAAUUGAGCACGAUUUUCUGAAUUCUCCAAAUAUUAGAUAUUACCUUAUUUCAGAAUUUUUGAAUAACAGAAAAUUGAAAAUUUGCUCAAAAAAACACGUUUAUUUGCAUAAAAACUUGGGAUACAUGUUCAUUAAAUUGUUAUUACAAAAUACAAAGUUCAAAUCAAAUUAUAUAUGAAAUAUUUAAUACACAAAUCCAUUCAAAAAUUGAUAAUUCUCAUGAUAAAAUUAUGUACAGAAGAAAUUUAUGAAACAUGUAUAUACAAGUAAAAAUUGGAUAUAAUUAUUUGUAAAAAAAUGAAAUUAAUAAUGUAUGAAAGAAACAAAGUAAAUAUAUAAGUAUAUAGGUAACAAAAUAUAUAUAUAAUAAUGCAUAAGGAUAAUAUGGGAGUGUGUACAAUAAAUAAGUGGUAUGAUUAAAAACAUGGUUCCCAAAAGAAAUAUAUUGUACAUAUAAAUAUCUUUAAAAUAGGUUCUACACAUAAAAAAAUAUUUAUAUGAAGAUAUAUGAGAAUAAUAAUAUGUAUCAUAGUAAAAAUAAUUUAAUAUGUGUUAUACAUGUGAAGACACUUUAGAAAUAAUUGUAUAUUUAAGUAACAUGGAAUUAAAAUUUGAAUUAUAAAAUUAACUUAAUUUUACUGUGAGAUAUACAUACAAAGAAAUUUUAGAAAUAGUUGAAUGUUGAAGUAAAAAAAAAUUGAAUUUUAAAAUCAACUUAAUUUUAUUAUAUAUUAUAAGUUUACUAAAACUAAAAAACAGUUAAAUACAAAUUUAUUAGAAGGCUAUAUAUAUAUAAUAAGAACAACAAGGCUUUAAUAUAUGUAGAUUAAACAUAAAUACCAAAUAUACUUAAUAAACAUGUAAAUAUAUGGAUGAAUCUAAGAGAAAUUACAAAAUAUCAUGAAACUAAUAGUAUACACAAACUAAAAUGAAUUAUAUUACAAAUAGUACACCAAUUAUUAAAAUAAUAGAAUAAAAACAGAAAAGAUUACAAAAUUCGGCUAUCAAAAUAAUACAAAAUAUCACAAUCAAUGAUAAAGCAUGUAAAAAAAUGUAUGUGCAGUAAAAUAAAGAAAUAAGACUUAAUUGAAGCAAAAUUGAAACAGGAGAAACAAUUUACAAACAAAAUAAAAUAAAAAUUGGAUCAAUGUGCCAUGCGCACAAACAUGUGGGGGCUGGUAUUGAAAAUAUCCCGUGCUCAAAAUGCAGUAAUGAACCGCGGAUCCAAUUGAAAAACGCACAAACUAGCAGGCCAAUUUUAAAACAUAAAGAAGGCGAAUCGGGCGCAAAUUGAGGGCUCGCGAAAAGGGAAGGAUAUGUUGCACAAAUAGACCAUUUUAGGCACAAAAGGCUCCCCUCACCCUUCUUACACGGUACCGUUUUGUUUAAUAGGCUAUUUAAGCCUUCCUUUUCCCAUUCUCUUCUCCAAAGGCAGCCACUCAUCCCACUCAAAUGUACAGCCCCCAAAAUCAAAAUAUUAGGGUUCAUAUUCACAGCCAUGGAACCACCAUUUUAUUUGGUGGCUAUUGACGCAUGAACCACAACUAGACCUCACCAUCGAAGGCUCCACUCGAGGGAAUCUGGUAAGCCAAUUUAUUUUUCCUUUUUUUUUAAAAAAAUUUCCUAGAUCUGAUAUUGUUUGCUCAAGAAAAAUCAAACCGAAGUUGAGAACCUACAUAUUUAACAACAUCUGACCCUCACCCUUAUUUCAAUAUUUCAGAAAUAUUAGGGAUUUCAUUGGCGUCAUUUUGAGGCAUGAGGUCUAAUACUUUUUAGAUUUCCCUUCCAACUUCGAUCUCAACGAAGUGAAAUAGAGGUCUAAAGCCGAUUCACAAGGUAAAACUCGACUUCUUUUUAUUCUAAAAUGCAGAAUGAUGAAGGUAAUUGCAAGGAAAAAAAGAAAUAAAAAAAAUAAGGGAACAAAUUGAAAAAAAACCCGAAAAAUCACCCUUCAAGAAAUUCUUUUCGAAAAUUUUUGUACUCUUGUCUGCGUAUAGUGUGCUUGCGUAAGUAUCUGUUUUAUGUGCGUAAAAAAUUAUGGAUUACAUCACUGGCUUUUAUAUCCAUAUUUCCAAAAUAAAUAAAAUCUAAAAAAUCAUAUUUUCCUACUGUCAUUUGCUGUGAAAUCUGUUAUUGACUCCUUCUAGUGUCUUCUUUUGCAGUCUCAGUUGUACGGAGAAGAUGAUCCGGGGAUCUCGCGUGGAAAACCAUCCCUUUGGUAUUCUUCUAGUAUAUUCUAGGAGCUGCUGCUGAAAUUCUCCUUCUUUUGGGUUCUUUUGGGUUUAGGCUAGGAUAUGGAUUUAUUAGAGUUGGGUUUUAGGACAUGGGUUAUUUUUGUAUUUUGAAAAUUGUAAAUGGACCUUUUUUAGUCUUGGACCUUAUUCAUUUAUUUGGGUUUAUUUAUUUGCAUAUAAAUUAAAUGGGCCCGGGCAAAAUUGGUUGACUACACUUUCAUUCGUCAUUCAUAAUCAUACCACACAUAUAAAUGUUUCGAAUUCUUUUGAUUCUUUGUAUCUGCCUUCAUCUUCAUAACAGGUCCCCAGAUAUUAACGACACGAGUGACAUUGCUAGUGACUCAGAAUUUCCUUUCGAGUGAGAUGUGUGUAUGGAUGAUUCUCAGGAUUUUGAAGAUGACCAAGGCUGUAACCUAUCUCCUGAUUUGUUGAGGAUGGUAGAACAAGACGAGAAACAAAUCCUGUCUCACAAAGAAUCAGUUGAAAUCGUGAGCUUAGGAGAAGGAUAAAAGGUGAAGAUUGGAACAUGUAUCACUACGGAUAUGAAGCGAGACCUCAUUGAAUUACUUUAAGAAUUCAAAGAUGUCUUCGCAUGGUCAUACCAAGAUAUGCCCGGGUUGGACACUGACAUCGUGGUACACCGACUCCCCAUAAAGGAAGAAUGUAAGCCAGUUCAGCAAAAACUCCGAAGAAUGAUGCCCGAUGUCUUGUUAAAAAUAAAAGAAGAGGUUCGAAAGUAGUUCGACGCUGGAUUCUUGAAGAUGGUAAAAUACUCAGAUUGGGUAGCCAACAUCGUCCCCGUCCCUAAAAAAGAUGGAAAAGUGCGAAUGUGUGUGGACUAAAGAGAUUUGAACAAAGCCAGCCCGAAAGAUAAUUUCCCAUUGCCUCAUAUUAACACCCUAGUGGACAAUACGGAAGGACACUCACUAUUUUCAUUCAUGGACGGUUUUUUCGGAUAUAAUCAGAUCAAGAUAGAUCCUAAAGAUAUAGAGAAAACCACAUUUGUAACCAUGUGGGGCACGUUCUGCUACAAGGUGAUGCCAUUUGGACUGAAGAAUGCAGGGGCAACUUAUCAAAGAGCCAUGGUAACCAUUUUUCAUGACAUGAUGCAUAAGGAAAUCAAGGUUUAUGUCGAUGAUAUGAUCGCCAAGUCCCGAACAGAGGAGGAGCACAUACUAGUCCUGAGAAAAUUGUUCUUGAGGUUAAGGAAGUUUCAGCUAAAACUCAACCCCGCCAAAUGUACCUUUGGAGCCAAGUCUGGAAAGUUACUCGGAUUCGUGGUUAGUGAGAAAGGGAUCGAGAUCGAUCUAGACAAAGUUAAAGCCAUACAAGAGCUAUCCCCGCCGCGCACUCAGAAAGAAGUUCGAGGCUUUCUAGGAAGAUUAAAUUACAUCGCUCGGUUCAUUUCACAACUAACUGAGAAAUGUGACCCAGUUUUUCGCCUCCUCAAGAAACACAACCCAGGUGAAUGGGAUGAAGAAUGUCAAAAGGCUUUCAACAAGGUCAAACAGUACUUAUCCAACGCCCUGGUACUAAUGCCUCCUAACUCUGAUAAGCCGUUGAUACUGUAUUUGGCAGUAUUCGAGAACUCCAUGGGGUGCGUACUGGGUCAGCAUGACGAAUCGGGAAGGAAAGAAAAAGCUAUUUACUAUCUCAUCAAAAAGUUCACGGAAUAUGAGGCAAGGUACCCGCUGAUAGAGAAGUUGUGUUGUGCCCUAAUUUGGACAACCCGAAGACUGAGGCAGUAUAUGUUGUAUCACACCACUUGGCUCAUCUCAAAAUUGGACCCCUUAAAGUACAUGAUGGAGUCAACAACUUUGAAUAGAAGGAUGGCCCGAUGGCAGAUUCUGCUCUCUGAAUUCGACAUAGUUAAUGUGAAUCAGAAGGCAGUAAAAGGGAGUGCAAUAGCAGAUUUUCUGGCUAGUAGAGCUUUGGAAGACUACGAGCCUUUGAACUUCGACUUUCCGAAUGAAGACCUAAUGUGUGUUGCUACCAUUGAAGAAGGUGCUCUGGAAGAACUUCCUUGGAAACUAAACUUUGAUGGGGCAUCAAACGCCGUGGGUAAUGGAAUCGGGGCAGUCUUGGUAUCCUUAAAUGGAGAUCAUUAUCCAUUCACUAGUAAAUUGGAUUUUGAUUGUACGAAUAACAUGGCGAAAUACGAAGCGUGCAUCAUGGGUAUCCGCGCAGCCAUAGAUCGCAAGAUUAAAGUGCUAGAGGUGUUUGGGGAUUCUGCGCUAGUGAUUUAUCAACUUAAGAGAGAAUGGGAGACCAGAGACCCCAAGUUAAUCGAUUAUCGGAAGCUGGUCCUUGAAUUGGUUAAAGAGUUUGAUGACAUUACCUUCCACUACCUUCCACGAAACGAAAAUCAGAUGGCUGAUGCUUUGGCUACCCUAGCCUCCAUGAUCAAGGUGAACAAACAAGAAAAUGUCAAACCCAUCCGGAUGAGCAUUUAUGAAGUUCCGGCCCACUGUUACAAUAUUAAAGAAGACGAAGAGAAAGAUGAUCACCCUUGGUAUCACGAUAUAUUACAAUACGUGAAGAAUCGUGAGUACCCGGACCAGGCAAGCGAGAGUGACAAAAGAACGCUAAGAAUAUUGGCCAUCGACUAUGUCUUAGAUGGGGAUAUCUUGUACAAAAGAAGAAAGGAUCAAGUGCUACUAAGAUGUGUAGACGCUGUAGAGGCUAAGAAAAUCUUGGAAGAAGUCCAUGAAGGUGUCUGUGGGUCACACGCUGAUGGCUUUACAAUGGCCAGGCAAAUUAUGAGAUUCGGGUACUAUUGGUCCACCAUGGAAGGAGACUGUGUCAAUUAUGCCAUGAGAUGCCAUAAAUGUCAAAUCUACGGAGACAAAAUUCAUGUGCCUCCUUCACCGCUGCAUGUUAUGGUUUCUCCAUGGCCAUUCUCUAUGUGGGGCAUGGAUGUAAUUAGACCAAUAUCGCCGAAAGCUUUCAAUGGGCAUCGGUUCAUCUUUGUGGUUAUCGACUACUUCACCAAAUGGGUAGAAACCGCUUCGUAUGCUAGUGUUACAAAGUCAGCAAUGAGCAGGUUCCUGAAAAAAGAGAUCAUAUGUCGAUAUGGAAUGCCGGAGAGGAUCAUAUCUAACAAUGCAUUAAACCUAAACAAUAGUACGAUAGUAGAAGUCUGCAGUCAAUUCAAGAUCAGACAUCACAACUCGUCACCGUAUCGCCCGAAGAUGAAUGGGGUAGUGGAAACAGCCAAUAAAAAUAUUAAGAAGAUUGUCGGGAAGAUGACCGAGACCUACAAAGAUUGGCAUGAGAAAUUACCGUUUGCCCUCUUUGCUUAUCGAAUGUCAGUCAGAACCUCAACCGGGGCAACCCCUUUCUCUUUGGUCUACGGAAUGGAAGCGGUGUUGCCAAUCGAAGUCGAGAUUCCAUCCCUCCGAGUGUUGUCAGAACUAAGGUUGGACGAAGCAGAGUGGGUCCAGUCUCGAUAUGACCAAUUGAACUUGAUCAAGGAAAAAAGGCUAAAAGCUAUUCGUCAUGGUCAGAUGUACCAGAAACGAAUGAUGCGGGCUUAUGACAAAAAUGUUCGCCCUAGAGAAUUCCACGAGGGAGACCUAGUUUUGAAAAAUAUCCUUCCCAUACAUAAGGAUUUUUGAGGGAAAUGGAUGCCUAAUUGGGAAGGGCUUUACGUGGUGAAGAAAGCUUUCUCCGGAGGAGCAUUGAUUCUAGCCGAGAUGGACGGUAAAAACUUGCCCAAUCUUGUAAAUUCAGAUUCGGUCAAGAAGUAUUUUACCUGAAGAAAGAGAGGCCAGAGUGAAAACCCACAAAGGGCGCUCUAAAAAAAUAGAAAAACGGAGAGGUCAAGGUGAAAACUCGCAAAGAGCACUUUGGAACCAAAAGAGUUUUUUUUAGUUGAAAACCCGAGAACGGGCAGCUCAAGUUUUGGAUAUGGGGCAUAUGGUAGUCUUGUCCCCCCGAAAUCAGCAAUACAGAAGAAUAUUACACCUUGGAGCAUCAACAAAAGACGCGGGAUCUCCUGAACACACAUUUGGUUCGAAGGAGCCUUUGAGAAAUUAGAAUAAUGAAACUCGUGUUGCGAUAUCUGGGGCGCCUUUUUCUCAUUUUUUUGCACCUUAUCAGAUUCGUUAUCCUAUGUAUUCACAUCAAAUUUUUGCUUAAUAAAAUUCUAUUUGUCCAUUAUGAUAAUCUCUUUCAAGCAUUCUUGUUGAAAUCGCGAUUUUUGAACAUGUAAUAUUUACACAAAAGAUGUUAUGCAUAUUACUCUGGAAAGUCUUUAAAUAGUACAAGAACCUGAAACAGGGCCACUAGUCAGGACUAACCAGGUUCAAAGGCAGAAGUAUUGGAAAAAGAGUAGUCUAAAUUAGGACUAUUUCUUCAAAUUUCCGUCAGAGAUAACGGCUAAGCAAGAAGACGUGAUAGCACAUCAAUGAUAGAACCCGGACGAAUUAUGAGCAAUGACACCUUAAGUGUUUAAAAAGGAAUCACGCUCAUGACAUUUCUACAUUCAUAAUCAGUCAUUUAGUUAGGAGCACUUGAUCCAUUUCGAUCAUAGCAUUCUAAUUAUUUAACAUAAACACCACAUCUAGUUAGGGACAUUUGAUUCAUCUCGAUCAUAGCACCCUAGUUAUUUGACAUACACAGAUACAGGAAACCAAUUCUACACAUCAUGUCUUUAGAAGACAGUGUAGCGACAUUGGCGAAUCCUGCAGAUUUGGUAUCUCUGUAUUGGCGGAGAGCAGAUCAAAGAUAGUAGAUUUGGCAUCUCUGUAUCGACAGGGAGCAGAUCGAAGAUAGCAGAUUUGGCGUCUCUGUAUUGGCAGAGAGCAGAUUAAAGAUAGCGUAUUUGGCGUCUCUGUAUUGGCGGAGAGCAGAUCGAAGAUAGCAGAUUUGGCGUCUCUAUUUCGGCAGAGAGCAGAUCAAGGAUAGCAGAUUUGGUAUCUCUGUAUUGGCGGAGAGCAGAUCGAAGAUAGCAGAUUUGACGUCUCUGUAUUGGCGGAGAGCAGAUCGAGGAUAGCAGAUUUGGCGUCUCUCUAUUGGCAGAGAGCAGAUCGAAGAUAGCAGAUUUGGCAUCUCUGUGUUGACAUAGAACAGAUCGAAGAUAGCAGAUUUGGCGUCUCUGUAUUGGCAGAGAGCAGAUCGAAAAUAGCAGAUUUGGCAUCUCUGUGUUGACAGAGAGUAGAUCGAAGAUAACAGAUUUGGCAUCUCUGUAUGGGCAGAGAGCAGAUCAAAAAUAACAGAUUGGUGUUCCCGUGUUCUCAAGAAACCAGUUGAGGAUAGCCAAUUUGACACUCCUGAAGACAUCAGAAGACCUUGAGGAAGAUAAGGAUCAAGAUUUUGAGAUUUAGCCAGACUGGGCAAAUUUGGUCCUUUUUAUAGUCUUUGCUUUAUUCUCAUUACACGAUAAUGAACAAAGAGGGACAGCUGUAGUGGGCCAAAUUUGCCCGACCCAAAUAGAUACCAAAUAAUUAAACCAAAAAACAAUGAUAAGUGUAAAACCCAAAUAAAAAUUUAAUGUCCUAUUACAGUCCAAAUUAUUACAAUAUUCCACAGUCCAAAUUACAUGACCCAAAUUUAAAACCUAAACCAAAUACAAUGGCCCAUUAACCAUGACACAAAAUAGGCCCAAUAAGCCCAAUGUUUAAACCGAGAAACCCUAGAAGCUUUCCACUUGCGCCGUAGCAGCCCCCCCAACCUCCAGGUUCCGUACAACGCCUCCAGCAACCACGUCAACAGCCCUCGUACGCCAACACAGUCUCCGUACGAUGCCAACGCAUCCCGUACCUGCAAGAAGGACAAACACAACGACAAAUACAAACAAAAAUGGCAGAACAGCAAAUAGAAGGGAACGAAAAUUGUAUUUGGAAUUUAUUUUUCCUUUUUCUUUUUUCUUUUCGGCUAUAAAAUCUAAGCUGCGAAUCAGUUGUAAAAAAGGAAUAUACACAUAUUGAAUGCAAAGAGCAGAGGUGAUUUCAUACUUUUCUUUCCGAUUUUUUUAUUUUCUUCUUAGUUUACUCAUUGUUAAUGCAUACAACUAAAAACCGAUGAAAGCCAUAAAUAUUUUUGCUAUGCGGAUAUAAUGGCGAGAGGUCAAGUAGCAGUAUUUACUUUACAAAUUUGUUUCCAUUUUUUUAAAAAAAAAUAAUAACGUGAGAUUCGAGCAUUUCAUUCAAACAAAGAAGGAGAGGAGAAAGAUACUUACUAAACCCUUUUAAAACUUGUUCAAGUGUCUUCAACGAGGAAAGCGGGUGCUUUUUGCAUGCAGAUGGUCACCAAAAUAAUGGUGAUUCGGCUGCUAAAUAGAAACCCAAGAAACUUAGUUCCCAGGCUGUGUUUUUCAGCUACAAGUGGGGCUGUGUUUUAGGGAAGAAGCAGAAAAAAAAUGGUCUUAAAUGACCUAAUUUUGAAACGGUGCCGUGUCAUAAAGGGAGGGGUCCACGCCUCUACCCGAUUGGAGACCCGACUCCACCCUUGUGCGCCUAAAUUGGGUUAUUUAGGUAGCAGACCCCUCCCCUUUCGCGCCACAUUUAAAUCAGCCCACGUUCUUGUCUUGUUUGUUUUUUAAAUUUGGCCCUGUAACUUACAUCCGUUUGCAAUCCAACCCGCUCCUAAAUGCAACAUUUUGGGAUCUGGUAUAUUAUCAGUUUUAGUCCCUAGAUGUUUUUGCGCGUUGGAUGUUGGUCCUCUUAUCAUUACUAUUUUAUUUUUUAAUUACCCCAUGUAUUUUAGUUUAAUUUUAAUCGAGUCCUUUCAUCUUAUACCUCUUUUUAUUUUAUUUUAUUUGUACAUUUUAAUUAAUCUUGAUAAUUGCUUCUUCAUUCUUGUAGAUUCGUUUUUGUUGUAAUAUUAUGAUCGUAUUUCGCACUCUUUAAAUAUUUAUUUCUUUUAUAUUAUUAUACAUAUACAUAUUGUUAUAACAAAGUUAAUGUAUUUGCAUGUAUAUAAUGAUUCUUGGCUCUGUUCAUGUAUUUUGGAAUAUAUAUUUUUAUUAUUCUAACAUGUUUUGUACAUAUAUUUUAUGUAAAGUUUAAAUUAUUUUUAUACUUAUUUAUAUUAAUAUACAUAUUAUAUAUAUAUUUCUAAACCUAUACAUUUUACAUUUACAUUUUCUUUACACAAAAGCGUGUUUUUUUUAAUCUAUUGUUUAAUUUAUUAUAAAAUUAAUUUAGCCCUAUGAAUAUUAUCUUUUCUAUGUAAUUUUACAUGUAAUUAUUUUCAAAAGUUAUAUAUACAUAUUGAUAUUAUUACUUUAAUAGGUUUUCCUACUUACAACAUUUUUGCGAUAUGAGUUAUCAAGUAUUUUCUUUAUGUAUGUAUAUGGAAAAAUUUUAGAAACCUCAUUUUUUUUUUGCAAUCACAAAAUUAUUAUUUUUGGAUGUUCCUUUGUAUUAAAUUACUUUGUGUUUUAUAUAGUCCCUUAUUUAAACGUUUUGAUAUAAACGCAUGUAUAUACUUUUUAGACUAAGUUAAAGUUUUUUAUUAAUCUAAUAAUUAUUUUUAAAGCUAUCUAUAUGUACAUAUGUUUUAUGAACGUACUUUGUGUAUUAUAUUUUCGCCAUAUGUCUUCAUUAUUCCUUUUUAUAUUAGACAUAUUAUUUAAAAUCGUCAUGUAGUUUGUCAACUUUAAAAUAUGUUUGUGUUUAAAAUUUUUUACUUGCAACUUGAUUCAAAUUUCCAUUCUUUAAUAUCCAUUUCAAAAUAUAUACACAUAUCCCUAUUUUUUUAAGCUUGUCAACCUAUAUAUAUAUAUCUAGCUUAUUAAUCUUAUACCAUUUUGAUUUCUACAUUUCAUUUGCUUCACGCAUAUCUUGCUGUUUUCUUUAUAUCUUAUGGCAUGAAUAUAUAUAAUCAUUGCAUGGUAUUUGUCUUAAUAAUUUGUUAAUUGUUCUUCGUAUGCGAUUGAGAUUUGAUUAUGAUCUUUAGAUUAAUUAUAUUUAAUUGCAUAUUCUGCUAGUCGAUUAAUAUUAUUAUCCAUCAAGCAUCGUACCAUCAUACGUGCCUUUACCCUAUAUCAUCGUUUCACUUAAUUUUUGAAAUGUGGUUCUAUAAAACCCAAAUUUUAUGAUUAAUUUCAUCUUAUUUCAAAUCGAGUUAAUAUGUCUUAAGCUAGCUUUAUAAUCAUUCAAAAAUUCUUCAAAACGAAGACGAGAUUCGAUAUUUAGCAAUUCGCGGAAUCGUGCCCUAACGUGUUGGGUUGCAAUUUCGUGUUUGCUCGAAAUAAUCGAAUAUCACUUCAAAAUUUCACUCAUGUCUUUUAAAAUUCUUCAAAACAAAGACGAGAUUCGAUAUUUAGCAAUUCGCGGAAUCGUGCCCUAACAUGUUGGGUUGCAAUUUCAUGUUUGCUCAAAGUAACCGAGUAUCCCUUCAAAAUUUCCUUUCAUAUCUUCUAAAAAUAAUUUAAAACGAAGGCAAUAUUUGGCGUUUGACAAUUCGAGAAUCAUGCCCUAUUGUACUGGGUUGUGAUUUCUUGUUUGCUCAAAACGAUUGAACAUUCCUUUACAUUCUCACUCAUGUUUAUAAGAAAAUACUUAAAAACGAAGGCGAUGUUCAAUAUUUCGCGAUUUGAGAAUUGUGCCCUAUCGUGCUGGGUUGCGCUUUUUCAUUGGUUCGAAACAAUUGAACAUCCCUUUGGAAUUUCACUCACAUUUCCUAAAAUCUUUCAAAAUGAAGGCGAUGUUCGAUGUUUGGCGAUUUGAGAAUCGAGCCCUAUCGUGUUGGGUUGCGCUUUCUUAUUUGUCCAAAAUAAUCGAAUAUCUCCUCGAAAUUUCACACGUAUUUUAUAAGGUAAGGCAAUAGUCAAUGUUUUGAAAUUCAAGGAAUCGUGCCCUACUAUGCUAGGUUUCGGUUUUUCGUUGGACUAAAUAGUUGAGCAUCCUUUUGUGAUUUUCGAAUAAUAAAUUUUCGGACGUCGAAACAAGAAGAUUUUUGAUAAUCAACUCGGGUUACUAAAAAAAGAACCACAUUUCAAAAACAUCUUUAAAUUUUAGACACAAGGACAGUAUUUAAUCGAUUCGGUACCAAUUGUGGGCGUAGUGAGGGUGUUAAUCCUUCCUCAUACGUAAUCGACUCCCGAACCCGUUUUCUCAAAAGUUCAUUGACCAAAAUCAUUGUUUUAGAAAACUAAAAUGUUUUAUUAAAAUAACCAAAUUCUUAGGUGAUCCGAUCGCACCAAAACAAAAGGAUCGGUGGCAACUCCAUAUUUCUAUUUUCCAAAAAGUCGAUUCCCCUUUUUUUAUUAAAUUUAAAAUUUUUAAAAUCGAAGGAUGGUUUCGAAAAUAACGUAUGAUAUUGAUUUGGUAUAUAAAAUAUUUUUAUAGACCAAGAAUUGGACCAAAUUCAUGCUAAUAGGGGAAAAGCAAAAAUUAUGGAUUAGCCCCUGAAGAAAUCUACUUGUUUUGUGUUUUGAAAAGGUAAGUUCAUAUGGAACUUACUACCUUUCCUUGUGUUAUAUGUAUGCUUGUGUUUACUUUAUUAUGAUUAGGUUUGAACAUAAAUUGAAAUAUUGAUGAAUUUAACAUAUAAGGCUAACAAAGGGAUUGAAUUGAAAUGAAAUGUGAUAAUUGAUUGUUAUGCGAGAGUACAGAGUAUAAAUGUGAAAAUAUGAAUGAUUAAAGGGUAUGGAAAUGAAAACUUGACCGAUUAUAGGGUAUGAUAUGCAAAUGUGAAUGAUACAGGGUAUGAAAAUGUAAUAGUAUGAUAGAUGCCUAUGUGAACAUAGUAAAAGGUUAGGAUACAAUUGGCAUGCCAAUAGGGUCAUAUGCACGCUUGUACAGGAUAUGUUAUGAUACGAAGAUUAUGACAAGUUAUAUCGAGAUCUAGCAUCUAUUAGAGAUUAUCGUGUAAUAUUUGUCUCUAUGGAGACUUUGGUGUGGUGGAGGGGUGUAAUUGAAAAUGUUUACACAUUUGAUGCUUACGAGUUUCUCACUUCGUUACCUUGGUAUAGUGUGUAGUUCACUCGUGUAUCCAAGUCCAUUUUAUUAGGGUUCCAUUGGGCUAAACAUUGAAAUUUAAUGUUGAAAUUGGAAAAAUGAAAUGAACAAAAUUUGAUAUGGUAUUUUGAUAUGUAACUAAUCUGUUUUAAUUCGAUGUAGCAGAUUAAAUAGUUUCUGCACUUUAGUUGCUUGAACACAAUCAUUUUGGUUUCAUUUCAAUAACAUUCUCACAGUUUUAGUUACAUUAAAUAAAGUACGUAAUUUGAGUAUUUUAUUGACCUUAGGGGUCGAAUGAGGCUUAAGGGUGAGCUAAUAUACUUUGUGAGCGUGCAGUAGACUAUUGGAAGGCAUACUAACUCGAUUCUAGUCGCUGUGUUGCAACACGGAGAGCUAGAGGUUGCAACAUAGAGAAAAAAAAGAAGAAUUUCAAGAUUGCCUUCAAUGUUGUGACACAGCCUGAUGAUGUCACGACACACCUUUGAAGACACCUUGAAAAUGAAGCAUACUUCCCUCAAUGUCGCAACACAGGACUUGGUGCGUUGCGAAAUCUCCUCUAUACGGGAGAUAAUUACAAGUCAAGGGCAUUCUGGUCCGCACAAUCAAACAUUAAGCACGAGGGCGGAAGCUGACCUAGGGUUAAGGACGAUGACCACUCUAAAUAAGCUUAACUAACAAAUGUUAUAGACAACUUUUAGAUUGAUAAUUUUAUUCCUAGUUUUAGUCUUUAGUUUUCUCUUUUCAUAUGCUUUAGGUUUAUUUUAGGCUUUCUUCUUUUCUUUGUGGAAGAAAUCAAAUUUGUUAAACGUGAUCAAACUCUGUAAGGAUUCUGCAUUCAAUUCUAAAACAAAUCAGACUUCUUCUAAACUUUAGACUCUUGAAUUAUUAUUCAUGUUUAUUAUUUCUAUCAAGUUUAUAUUUUUAUGAGAUCCAUGAGGAACUAAUCCUCCUGUGGGGGAUUAGCGAGUAGAGGUAUGAUUAAUUAAUUAUUCUGUAAGGUUCUCUUAAUGGAUCAUGUAUUCAAGAAAGGAAGAUUUUAAACCCUAAGACUGACAAUCCUAGGAAGUCAUGAAGGUGAGAAUCAACCCAAAAUUGAUAUGGCCUAUCCGUGAAUACCUUAACCCUGAACCGGUCUGGACUUUGAGGUUAAAAGACAAGUAGUUCUUGCCUACUUGUUAUUCUAGUAGAAGAUCAGAAGAUCCUGCUAGGAUAUUGACUAGUUGAUUGAACAAGAAAACCUGAAGUGAUAAUUGAUUAUGACUACUAAAGCAAGCUAAUCACCCAUGCUCAGAUUUGAUACAUUUACUAUUUGCUUUCUCAUUAUUUCUUUAUUUCUUUUCAUUUUAUUUCUAUCAUUAUUAAGAAUCAUAAAAACCUUUCUUUUUUAUCUGGUUGUAAUAUAAUUCAUUUAAAAGUAUUAAUUAGAUUUAUUUAUGCUUAGGUAGGAUUAAUUUAGUGUUCACGUCCCUUAGGUACGAUCAUCGGAGUGCUCAUCUACUCCAUUGUAAAUAUAUUACAACUUGACUCGUAUACUUGAGGAUACCGCUUUUUUCAAAUAUUUUGUGCAAGGUUUCUACUCUGGAUGUUGGUACAUCUAGAGGUGGUCAAGUUGUUGACGUUGUUGCCGGGGAGGCAACGUCACUAGAUAAAUUUUGAUUUUUGUAUUCUAAUAGAAUAAUUAGGAAAUAUCUAAAUUAUAUAUACGACCUUUAUUUUAUUUCUAUUUACUUAUUUGUUUAACAUUACUGACACUUCUUUAUUCUUCAAGAAGUCUCGGUACAUCCCUUUGCAAAGAAAACAAAACUACCGCAGUAACUAUUGAAAUUAGAUUAGAAAACACCAUGGACAACUUCGAUUAUAGAUGGUCAGAUGAUGAGAUAGAUUAUGAUGAUGACAUUUAUGAAUAAGAAGUCUAUGAAAAGCGAGAGAUUUAAGAGAGUCGGAGACUAUUAAUGCUGGAAUUGUGUCAACUGAGAGGUGAAACUCAUGCAAAUCUACGGGAGUGUCACAUAAGUGCAAAAAUAAAACCCAUUGUUUCCCAAUAUGAGCAACCUCAAAAUAUGGAUGAAGAGGAAAACCUAAUAACCCAAUUACCUUGGGAAAAUCUAAAUAGUCAAGCACUUCUGAGUCCAGAAGAUAAUCAAGGUGAGCUAGGGUAAAUAACAUCACAAGAGGAUAUUCAAAAAAAGACUAAGCCCAACGAAGAAAUAACGACCAAAUGCAAUAAUGAAUUAAGAGUUAGAGUCAUUCCUUUAGAAAUUUCUAGGUUAUCAGGCUGGGGAAAUGAGCAAGAUUAGAACAUAGUGGAGGAUAUCGGAAUUGUGAACGUUCUCAAAUCACUAGAGAAGAUAGUCUCUCCUAACAAAUCUAUAAAGGAGUGUUUGAAGCUUCAGGAAUUAGUAAAUGGUAACAAGGUCAAAUAUGAAAUUUGUAUGGAGGAUACAUUUAAUCCAAAUAUAUUCUGUAGAGUAUUAAUUUUCAAUCAAACACCACAAAAUUUUAGCAAAUUAAAGGGUCUCAAGAUGUUAAUGAAUAUAGAGAUAAGACGCUUUGGCGAAAACUUAUAUGAUUCCGGGAUUGACACUAUAUAGCUAAUACUACCCAACAAUAUUGAUAUAAGGUUACAAGGGUUAAGAACCACUCAUCUUUUACUAAAGCCACCUGAUGAAACUGCAAUUCAACUUAUAAAGGAGUCUAAAAGAGUGUGAAAUAAGCAAUGUAGUUACAUGAUACCCAACCAAUAGCCUCAUAAUCAAAACUUUUGAGGUAAAAUUCGAACAACCAAUUCUAUUGAAUAAGUUCUUGGUGGACCUCAUCCAAAUUAUGCAUAAGUGUGAAGGAAAGGAAAUAAAAAUGAAAAAUGAAAAAGAUUUCAAAAUCAUUUUUUAAAAUCGGGAAUAUAAAAAGUAUUUAAGGUUGUUAAAUAGUCACCUGGUAUUAAGUAUAAUUAAUCGUUUCGAAUUGUGAAAAGAGUUUUCAGUAGUCAAUAUAGGGUGAAAGAGAAAACUCAAAGAGCAUAAUAAAUGAAGAGGAGAAGAAUGACAUGAUGGAUGUUGGAUGAACACUGAUAGAAAAGGAAUAGGAAAAGCAUCUACGGGCACACUGAUUAAGUUGACAAAUGAAUCUGACAGGAAAACUUAACAAUUUUUUUAAACCUUAAUUUUUAUGUAUAUUAUUGUACAUUUAACUAACCAUUUAGUUUAAACUUUAACUUGUAUCAAAUUUGUGGGUGGAUUUGGAUGGGUAGUGCGUUUAGCUGCGAUUAGUGUAAAAACAGCGGUGGCGGUGAGAUUAUAUAUUGUAGUGAUACUGUAGCGUAAGACAAAAAGUAAGCUAAACACACUACACCGCACCCAAUCACCCAUCUAAACCCACCUUGUGUUUUACAAGAAUCUGAGACACUCUGAAAAAUGGAAUUUUGGGUGAAAAUAAAGUCAAUGUCACAACACAAUACCCAUGUGUGGCGAUACCAUGUCCAGAAUUAGAAGAUUGAGAAAAUCACCUCGAUGUCACGACACAAACACUUAUUGCGACACAAAACAUAAUAAACCUAUAAUUUCAAAAAUUCAGAGUAUGUCGCGACACCGAACCAUAAUGUCACGACAAUGGCAAAUUGCCAAAGAUGUCGCAACACGGAACCCCUGUGCCGCGACAUCAUUACAACUUUCUGCAGGGUUGCCCCAACCUAAUUUGCUUAACUUGGUGAAUUAGCCUUUAUUUUAUCCAAUUUGUAACCUUAAAAUUAUUAUAUUUAACCUUAAAAACACCUUAAAUUCACAUUCUAACCUUUCUUAAAAUUCUACACCUCUCAAAGUUCUCUCAAGUCCCAACACUCCCUUUUAAUCAAAACCUUAAAUCCCCAAAACCUUUAUUGUCGAUUUUCAAAGCUUUAUUUGGGUGAAAAGUCAUUAACCACUAGGACAAGAAGCAACAAAAAGAUUGCAAAGAAAUUAAGGUUAAGUAUCCCUUUACUAUUUUACUGUUUUAUCUAUUAUUGUUCAAUUUUAUUUUAUUAUUGUAGAACUGAGUAUUAGAGAAUGUCGCCUAAAAAAAGUAGGAAAUCUUUAGUCCAAGAAAAUCCGAUGGUUUUGGACCCUAAAAAAUUCUAGAACCCAAAUGUCGAGAAAUAUUUUCUCAAACUACAGGUACAACCACUUAUACAAAAAUGACAAUUCAAACCCUCAAUAGUUCUAUGCAAAGAAAUUUGGACAUUAGUCAAGAAUCAUCGAUGGGAGCGAUUCUAUGUCACUACUGAGGAAAAUGUAGUUGUACCAGUGGUACAAGAAUUGUAUGCCUCCUUUCGAGAUCAAGAAAUGAGAAAAAGGUAAGGUGAAAGUUGGGAUACUAUAACGGUGAUAGGAGAAGAAGUACUAUUACCCUUAGAGAAAUUUGUGAGUUUUACGAUAUCCCUUAUUAUGGCAAAGACUUCAUUGAUAACAUUGAUUUGAAUACAUUUUGAGGACAUAAAGAUGGAAGAUGUCGUUUAUUAUUUAAUUCAGGGUAGGGGUACAUGGAAUUAUAUGUUAGAUACUACCUUGCCUAGUGAAAUUGUGGAUGCAGUUCAUAUAUACUAAAAUUGCGUCCGCAUUAAAUGUCUCUAACAUUAAUACUUUUCAAGCUAUUCUUUUGCAUGGUAUUUUGCAGUGCAAGCAAAUAUGUGUGGGCAAGUGGAUUUAUCGUGAGAUGAAACAUUGUGCGAAUAGCCAAAAAGUCGAGCUUUUCUUGCCUUACCUCGUGACAGUACUGUGUCAAAAAGUAGAGGUUCCAAUGGGAGAGAAUGAGAAGUUCAUGAAGACAAAAAAUAACAUAAUUGGAGACUCAUUAUAUACAUAAUACAUUGAGCUUCAGAGGAAACAGAAUAUUGAUUGGAACCAAAGGAGGAAAGAAAAUAUGAUGUUCCUGUGUAACUUAAACAGAAAAAAUAAUCAUAAUCUAGGAAAGGGGCACGUGGAAACAUUGAAGAAAAACUUGAUGGAAUGAUUAUGUGGACGUAGAAAAUGGGCCAGUACUUUAAGAAUUCACCCGACUAAACAGGUUGAGAGCUCCAAACUAACCGCCAACUAUGUUCAGCCCAAUACGGACCCAUUAUAGCAUCGAAGGAGAGGAGGUGACUUAAAAGGAUGAGAGUGAGGGGGAUGAACACGAUUUCCUGAUAGAUGAAGACUACUAUGAGGUGACGUUCUAACCUCAAUACACCACACCAAAAAGGCCCAUCAUUCGAAGCCCAACCCGACAUGUACCUUUGACGGGAGGGACUUCCCAUCACAAAUAUGGCUCGAGAAAGAAACAAGAACCAAUAGAAAUGAGGCAUUUGCCUAGUGUUGAUGAUUCAAAGGAAGAUUAAAACUGAACUUUUAUUUUUUUUUUCUUUUGGGAUUGUAUUAAUUUUUGAAUAAUUUUUAAAUUUUAAAUUGUUAGGAGUAGGAGUAAUUGUAUAUUAUUAGUUUUUUGGUGUUUUGUUUAAAAUUUCUACUUAGAAACCCCACAUAACAAAGGCACAACAAUUUUAAGCUUUCAACAAUCGAAGGAGGAAGCACUCACCAAUAGCCCACGAAACCAUCAUGGUCAAUCGGGUAACUUCUUUCAUUAUCUUUUCAGGGGCUACACAUUGAGGACAAUUUAUUUUCUAAAGUGUAGGGGGUAACGUAUAAAAAUUGUUUAAUUGUUACCCUUUUCUUUGAUUUUUCUUGUUAAUUGUGUGCUUGGGCUUAUAGAAAUACAAGUGAUUGGUUAGGAGCAUGUACAUAGGUUGAUUGUAUUUACAAUAAAUUUAGCAUGAGGAUAGGUGAUUUUAAAUUCUUUAUUGUUAGACUAUUAAGUUCUAUAUAUUACACUAUAAAUAGGCAUUAAGUAAUUGAAUGUACCAAAUGAUAUAGAGAAUACAAGGAAAUGAUCAUGUUAGUAUAAAUGAUAAAUUUUUGAAUUUGUGAUUGUUUGGUUGAUUAAAUUUUUGAAUAUUGAGAUACCUGGGGAUGAUCUAAGGCAUUAUUUGGUAUACACACACAGCCAAAAAGCUAACCUUAUUUAUUCAUCCUUAGUACCUAUUUUGAGCCAAGAAACACUUCUUAUAACACCCCCAAACCUGGCCUGGACGAUACGGCCAAAUCUGGCGAUGUCACAUUGAAGUGUUUUUCGUAAAGUGUUAUAUUGAUAAAAACUCUUAAUAUAUAUUUAACCUCUUUGUGUUUUUCUGAGUUAUGUCAUUCAUUUGAAAACUUGCGCCACUAUCCAAAAAGUAUUUACUUUAAAGUCGGUAUUCAUUUCCAAAAAUGUCAUUUUAUAGUGGAAGCUUUUUAAAAUAGUUACGCACUUGCGUUUACUUUGUAAAAAACAUUGUUUCUUUUGAAAACUCGAGUUUUCCUAUCUCUAGCAGUUUUAAGCCAAAGCAAAUAAAAACCCAAAUUUAAGUUAAAAUCCAUAGAGGCCUUAUUAUAGUAAAAAUACCCAAAUUAAAAUUACUUAUAAAAAUUAAACAAAUAUGAUAGUAAAUGUGGUUGUGUGGCCGCCUUUGAGUCCCUCGCAGCACCAAUCCACCUAGGCCUGGGGAUUACUUGUACAGAUAAACAGAUGGGUAAGUUUACGAAAACUCAGUGUGUAAUCCCAUAUAAGCAAAUAGUCAAAAAACAAACACAGUUUGGGCCUAAGCCCUUUUUGGUAACAGUGACAAUAGCAGUUUGGGCUUUAGCCCAUCUCAAUACAAAAACAGUCAUGUGUUUGGGCCUUGGCCUAUUGCAGUAACAGUAAACAGUGCAAUAACAGCAAACAGUGCUGUAACAGUAAGCAGUAUGCAAGUCCUACCCAUCUAGCCUCUACACUCCAUCUCUGUCCAACCCUACACUCCAUGUGAGGAUAUAAUCAACUCACCCAUCCCUACACUCUAGAAUUAGUACUAGUUGCGGCACUAAACAGUAAUAUGCAGCUGGGCUGCCAGUAAUUUAGGCUUGAAGCCUUUCAGUACACUUUCUCUGAUCAGUAUAAACCUAUCCCCAUGUAAUGCAUCAUACAGUCAUGUCAUGUCAUAUCAUAGAAUCAUACAUGUAUCCCUUACAGUUUAAAUAACAUGCAAAAAUACGAUCAUAAAUUCACAUAUAUAUAUACACCACAUAGGGCAAAACAAUCAUUUUACCACACAAAGGCAAAACAGUCAUUUAUCAAUUUGGAGUCUAGGUAUACUUACCGACCCAAUAGUAGGUCCACGGUCAUCUCGGGUGACCUGUACAACCUUAACAAUCAAAUAGUACAAAUGGGCCCAAGGCCCAUAAUGUUGGCCCAUGUGGGCCCACAUAGGCUAGAAAUAGCCUUAGCCGUGUGGAUACAUAGCCUGGCCCAAUAUUCUCCACAGGUCCAUGCGAUUUUACCCGUGUGAGGCCCACAAGCCCAUGGGGCCCAUACAGCUUAGUUUGGCCUAAAAUGGCCCAAAACGGCCUAAGCCCAUGAAAUCGCUCAUUGUGGCCUCAACAAUUUUAUGCCCAUGUUUAGGCAUACGGACUACCACAUGAGAGAGCGCACGCUCAUGUAGCGUCAACGGUCACCUAUUUUGACUUUUGUCAAUUUACGAUUAUGGCAGUGUUGUUACACACCUGAAUCAAUUUUGAUGUCAAAACUCCAUAAGCCCGAAUACCUAUCAAACGUUAUUCAAAACCGAUUAGAAGAUUAACUUACAGUCUCAAUAAUAUUUACUAGUAUUAACUUGACCUACCUCCAAAACGACCCUUCACUAAUGCCGUUAAGCCAAGAACCACGAUCACCCAAGAACCUUCCUUAGCCAGAAAUACCACUUAGUCAGUUAAACAAAACGCGCAACCAAACCGGAAUACUAAAUACACGUCACAUUACCUUUGAUCAUGAAAAGAGGGGAGUUUCGUCCACCCUAACGCUAGUUAAAGAUCUUCCACCCUUCGAAUAGUCCCUAAACACCAACCAAAAUAGGUGAGCAUUCACUCAUCAAUAAAUAGAUUUUACUAUAUUCUUACACUUACCAACAACGCGAGAAACGAACCAAUUACGAGGUGCAAGACUUGACCGCAAGAAGAAGAUGCUCACCAGGAAACAAAGAAGGAACCACCGCCGGCUCUAAGAGAAAGAGAAUGUUCAACGUCAAAGAAAAGAAAGGAAAUGAUGAAAAUAGGGAAACAUUUGGCCAAGGGAAACCAAAGUGGAGAACGUUUGCUCACUACACCGAAAGAGCAGAAGAAACCAAACAGAUAUUCGAUAUUGAGGGAGGAAGAAACGUUAGUUGUAGAAAAGGGGUAAAGCCAAAAGAACAAUGUUCUAGCCGAAACACAGACCACAGAGAUUUCAGCCAAAAAGGGGGAAGCAAAAAGAGGGACGGCAAUUAGAGAGGCAGAGAGAGAAAAAAAUAAUUAAAAACAAAAUUGUGGAAAAAUAUGAGAGAAACUAAAUUUGAUUAUGCUCACAAAAAAUCAAAUAACUCUUCUAUUAUUCUCUCUUAAAAUUUUGCCGCUAAAUCCCCACACUUCAAAAUCCCUUAAAACUCUCCUAAAAUCCUUCCUCAAAUUCAUCCAACUGAUCACACCUCCCCACAACCACUCAAUUUAAAUUCCCUUCAACCACUUCUAUGUUUCAGCUAACCCACAACACUCUCACAGUACGGCAGUAAAAUAAAACGCUCAACUACUCAAAGUAGGACUCAAACCUCAGUCCCCAAGCAACAUCAACACGCCUUGGACCAGCAGGCCUAUUCUAUCAUGCUUUACCCAAAUUUAUUUUAAAAGCCUACUGAUUAGAGACAGGGUUUAUUCUUUAAAGAAAAAACUUUUGCACAAGCCAAGGCUUGAACCCAAGACUUCUCAGACUCUUCCCAGAACACAUAACCACUGAAGUAGAUACACAGUUGUGUCAUUUUCUUGCACAACUAAACAUUUAUGUGCUGCCUCCUAACUGUUCCCAUGCUCAAAACCUAAUACUUCUAGGCCCAAAAUUCGAGGCGUUACACUUCUUGAUGAACUUCUUUACAAAACUCGAGCUAAAAACGAUAAUUGGUGCUUACCCUUUUCUUUGGUUCUGAACUACAUUGUUAUAGAUGUCUGGUCAUACAUAUUGAGGGUUAAGUAGAUAUGUUAUGGUGAUUUUGUAAAAAUAGAGCGAUAGGAAAGAUGGGUGGAGUAUAGUGAUUAUAGGUUAGCUUAAAAGUGCAAAAAGAAAAAAUUUAAACAAGAAACUACACGAGUAGAAAAAAGUAUGUGAAAAAUGAAGGAAUUUUUUAGUGCAGUACCGUGGAAAAGAAAGAAAAGUGAGAAAGUCACAACAAUAGAAAAACUCGUUUAGUGUACAAAAACUCAUGAGCUAAUCGUAGUUACUAUAUGAUGCUGAAAUUUCCUACAAGAAGAAAUAAGGAAUGUGAGAGAAGGAGAAAUAAGGCGGUGAGCAAGAAAGGGUCACUAAGAAGGAGAAUAGAGGGCAGUAUGAUGUGCCAAACUAUUUUCAUGCUUAAAACUAUUUGAUGCUUACUAUUCUUGAAUUACAUACCUGUCCCAAGCCGAAAAGCCCUUUGUGAUCUAGGUAGACUUCUUUACAAUUUGAAAUCAUACUGAAUAAUUGCAUUUAUGAUUGUUUAUAUUCUGCUAAAAUAACUAAAUUACUUGCAUAAUUUAUUGAUGGAUUCCUACAUUUGAGAUCCUUAAUACUUGUAUGCUUUGUAAUAUACUGAACUUAGGUGUUUAAUAUCAGAAGUGGUAAGUCAGCUACAUAUCAUGCUGAAAUUAUGUGUAAAUAUGAAAUGCUUAUUCAUGUGCUUUAAAACUAGCACUUGUA
This 42218-nucleotide long non-coding RNA is filed under the name Gossypium barbadense (sea-island cotton). RNAcentral's name for it is "long non-coding RNA (GBAR_LNC000173)". Lineage: Eukaryota; Viridiplantae; Streptophyta; Magnoliopsida; Malvales; Malvaceae. The record is from RNAcentral.